RNAcentral lists this unclassified non-coding RNA (581 nucleotides) under Hevea brasiliensis (rubber tree). Lineage: Eukaryota; Viridiplantae; Streptophyta; Magnoliopsida; Malpighiales; Euphorbiaceae. The record is from RNAcentral.
UCUCUCUCUCUCUCUCUCUUCCAGUCUCCUCUCGCUCUCUCUGUAACCCACCUUCGCUCUGCAAAACACAAUCUGUCCUUGCAAAACUACAAACUCUCUCUCUCCCUCCUCUUCAUGCGACAAGCUCAAUCAACAAGGCACAUCAGCGAACCCCAAAAUCCUUCAAGGAUCUAAGCAAAUUAGAAACCAAAAUUUGAACAAAUAAAGAACUAUGUAGGAGAGGGGAGAGAGUGGUUUUGUAGGGAGCUUGGUGCGUGUUCAUUAAUUGCCUAUGAUAUAGCCAUCUCCUAUGGUGACCUCGCUGCCAAUCUCCUCCCCAAAACCCAACCAGAAUUAAAUCAAGUUCAAGAUGAUCAAAUCAAGCCUAUCCUUAACUCUUUCAAUAUAUCAAGAUGGCCUUGUGCAUCUCAAAAUGGAUGAGGACCUCUUUCUGGAACCUCUAAAAAGAUUCUUCCAAUAUCCAAAUACCUGAUGUAAUCAUUUCAGAAUUUGAGAAUAAGAAGCUUUGGCUCCAGAAGGUUUCAAUAGAAACAAUCAAUGACGAUGUUGGGACCUCAUUUCAAUGGGAAGAAGAGAAAAAG